GCCAGCAUGGUGUAGUGGUUUGAACAUUGGAUUAUGACUCUGGAGACCAGGGUUCAAAUCACCAUUCAGCCA
Phrynosoma platyrhinos (Desert horned lizard) is the source of this 72-nucleotide non-coding RNA. The record is from the annotation of a GenBank genome assembly. Lineage: Eukaryota; Metazoa; Chordata; Lepidosauria; Squamata; Phrynosomatidae.